This 1870-nucleotide long non-coding RNA is filed under the name Mytilus galloprovincialis (Mediterranean mussel). Lineage: Eukaryota; Metazoa; Mollusca; Bivalvia; Mytilida; Mytilidae. The record is from RNAcentral.
UGAUCUUUCUAAUUUUAAUUCCAAAUUAGAGAUUUAACCCCAUUUCACGGUCCACUAAACAUAGAAAAUGAUAGUGCGGAUGGGGCAUCCGUGUACUGGGGACACAUUCUUGUUAGCUAGUAGUUUUAUGCAUUUAUAUUUUUUUAUAUUUCAUCUUUUGGAUUUCGAAAGAGGGCAUUUGCAAGUCUUUUAAGAUGGCUAAUGUAACUACAAACACUAAUUAGACAUCAGAGAUCAUCAGAGGUGAACAAAAUAGACUCCCGAAUUAUUAUCAGAUUCAGUAUAGUUUUGUUUUAACUUAUCAAUACUGAUCAGGCAAACAGUAGCUCAAAGAUAUCAGUAUAUAAUACGGUAGACAAAUGAUAUCACUUGAAAAGCAUAAUUUUAAAACUUAUUAUUUUAUAAUAUAAAGAUUUUAUUCUAUUUUCUUUUAUGACAGAAAUGUUUUACAAAAUAACAAUAUACUCGACUUGUAUUAAUAGUCUGUGAUUAAAAGUAAAUGUAGGACAGAAAGUCAUAGGACAAAAAUCCAUAGACAAAAAGUCACAAUCCUGCUGCUUUUUAAGGAAGAUUGUAUUUUUCUUUAAUUUUUUGUAUGUAAUAUCUUUGUAGACCAAAUUUUAAGUGAUAAUGAUAUUGUUAGGAAACAUUCUCUCAAAGUAGCUUGGUACACAACUGGAUACAUGGUACCAAGAAAUACGUCCCUCAUAUUGUUAACAUUUGAUAAAUUCGGCAUAUCAAGGCUAAUGAGCAAUUUUCUUAUACAAUAAAAUGGAUCAAAAGAAAUUAGUUCAAGAAUAUGCUCUUUUUCAUUAAACAUGUUAAAACAAAAGUACCAAGCAGAUAGUUGUGACUUUUUGUCGGAGUUCAAUGCUAUCUUUCUUAUCCUAUAGAAUGAUAUAUUGAUAUGAUUUUAACCUUUGCUUAUUCAAAUUUUAUAUAAAAUUUAUACAUACAAGUUUUUAUUUUAGCUCUAUAUCUAAAUAUACUAUUAUCAAUGUAGCAUUUUAGGUCAAAAUACAUUACUUUUUACAUACAGAGUAAAGUACAAAACAUAAAUAUUCAUAAGCUCCUUUUUGUAGGUUAAAGGUAAAAUCAUAAAUUGUUCCCUUUUCAUUUCAAAUUGCACAUUUAAAACAUUAAUGUCAAAUAUAUGGAGUAAGAAGGUUGUCAAAAAACAAAUAUUUGACCUCACUUUACAAAAUGAUCAUUAUCCCAGAAUGAGUAUUGUGAUAGAUUAUGGUUACUUGGUGUUGCGUUUUUAAGUUCUUACAUUAUUCAAUAUCAAAAGGUGUUUUUAUGAUAUGUUUACAAAUAUACAGUGCAACCUGACAAAACCGAAUCCUGUAUAUACCAAACAUGUUCUAAAGCACUGUCAUUUCAAAUUGUAUGCGUUGCGAACCUGAUAAAACCGAACAUCGGCCAAAACCGUAUACAUAAUCUUAAGUCCUGAAGAGGUUCGGUUUAAACGGGUUUCACUGUAAUAGCGUUCUGCUAUGGAUUAACAUUUUACAAGAAACCAUUCAUUGGUAUUUAUCUCAACCUCAAUAGUUCAUAAAAGAAUACAAAACUUUUAAAUAGUUGAAGGGAUUCCAGUGUCACUCAGAUGUUUUGAUAUGUGAUAACCAUUUGAAAAAUAUUUUAGAAAUAAGCCUUCAUUUGACAAAAUUGAGACCAAAAGCAUGAAAGACAAAUAACAACAACAACACACGUUUUUUAGAGAAAAUGAAACCAAAUACAGUUGCUACUGGUUUUAUAAAGACUUGUAUAUUUAUGAAUUUUAUGUAAGUGUAUCGUUGAAGAACUUAUAUUUUGUUGAAGUAUAUAACACAUAUACAUUUAUAUAUACAUUCUCAACAUUUAUGAGACC